CCUACGGGUGGCAGCAGUGAGGAAUAUUGGUCAAUGGACGCAAGUCUGAACCAGCCAUGCCGCGUGCAGGAAGACGGCCCUAUGAGUUGUAAACUGCUUUUGUACGAGGGUAAACGCAGAUACGCGUAUCUGUCUGAAAGUAUCGUACGAAUAAGGAUCGGCUAACUCUGUGCCAGCAGCCGCGGUAAUACGGAGGAUUCCAGCGUUAUCCGGAUUUAUUGGGUUUAAAGGGGGCGUAGGCGGGCGUAUAUGUUAGAGGUGAAAUCCCGAGGCUCAACGUCGGAAUUGCAUAUGAUACUGUACGGCUAGAGAGUAGUUGCGGUAGGCGGAAUGUAUGGUGUAGCGGUGAAAUGCUUAGAGAUCAUACAGAACACCGAUUGCGAAGGCAGCUGACCAGGGUACUUCUGACGUUGAGGCACGAAAGCGUGGGGAGCAAACAGGAUUAGAUACCCUGGUAGUC
This 460-nucleotide ribosomal RNA is filed under the name uncultured bacterium. Its description in RNAcentral is "partial 16S ribosomal RNA". It matches the Rfam family "Bacterial small subunit ribosomal RNA", at positions 338 to 795 of the family's 1533-position model. The record is from RNAcentral.